GGCCCGGUGGUGUGGUGGUAACACCCCUGCUUUAUGUUCCUGUAUAAGGUGAUGUUUAAGUGGAAGAUCCUUGUUCGAACCAAGGCCCGGCUA
Mycena latifolia is the source of this 93-nucleotide non-coding RNA. NCBI's taxonomy places the organism in Eukaryota, Fungi, Basidiomycota, Agaricomycetes, Agaricales, Mycenaceae. The record is from the annotation of a GenBank genome assembly.